This 1700-nucleotide ribosomal RNA is filed under the name Klebsiella pneumoniae. RNAcentral describes it as "bacterial LSU rRNA". It matches the Rfam family "Bacterial large subunit ribosomal RNA", at positions 1259 to 2925 of the family's 2925-position model. The record is from RNAcentral. Lineage: Bacteria; Pseudomonadati; Pseudomonadota; Gammaproteobacteria; Enterobacterales; Enterobacteriaceae.
ACCUGUGAGGGUUGCUGGAGGUAUCAGAAGUGCGAAUGCUGACAUAAGUAACGAUAAAGCGGGUGAAAAAGCCCGCUCGCCGGAAGACCAAGGGUUCCUGUCCAACGUUAAUCGGGGCAGGGUGAGUCGACCCCUAAGGCGAGGCCGAAAGGCGUAGUCGAUGGGAAACAGGUUAAUAUUCCUGUACUUGGUGUUACUGCGAAGGGGGGACGGAGAAGGCUAUGUUAGCCGGGCGACGGUUGUCCCGGUUUAAGCAUGUAGGCUGGUUAUCCAGGCAAAUCCGGAUAAUCAAGGCUGAGGUGUGAUGACGAGGCACUACGGUGCUGAAGUAACAAAUGCCCUGCUUCCAGGAAAAGCCUCUAAGCAUCAGGUAACAUCAAAUCGUACCCCAAACCGACACAGGUGGUCAGGUAGAGAAUACCAAGGCGCUUGAGAGAACUCGGGUGAAGGAACUAGGCAAAAUGGUGCCGUAACUUCGGGAGAAGGCACGCUGGUGUGUAGGUGAAGCCCCUGCGGGUGGAGCUGAGACCAGUCGAAGAUACCAGCUGGCUGCAACUGUUUAUUAAAAACACAGCACUGUGCAAACACGAAAGUGGACGUAUACGGUGUGACGCCUGCCCGGUGCCGGAAGGUUAAUUGAUGGGGUUAUCCGUAAGGAGAAGCUCUUGAUCGAAGCCCCGGUAAACGGCGGCCGUAACUAUAACGGUCCUAAGGUAGCGAAAUUCCUUGUCGGGUAAGUUCCGACCUGCACGAAUGGCGUAAUGAUGGCCAGGCUGUCUCCACCCGAGACUCAGUGAAAUUGAACUCGCUGUGAAGAUGCAGUGUACCCGCGGCAAGACGGAAAGACCCCGUGAACCUUUACUAUAGCUUGACACUGAACAUUGAGCCUUGAUGUGUAGGAUAGGUGGGAGGCUUUGAAGCGUGGACGCCAGUCUGCGUGGAGCCAACCUUGAAAUACCACCCUUUAAUGUUUGAUGUUCUAACGUUGGCCCCUGACCGGGGUUGCGGACAGUGUCUGGUGGGUAGUUUGACUGGGGCGGUCUCCUCCCAAAGCGUAACGGAGGAGCACGAAGGUUAGCUAAUCCUGGUCGGACAUCAGGAGGUUAGUGCAAUGGCAUAAGCUAGCUUGACUGCGAGCGUGACGGCGCGAGCAGGUGCGAAAGCAGGUCAUAGUGAUCCGGUGGUUCUGAAUGGAAGGGCCAUCGCUCAACGGAUAAAAGGUACUCCGGGGAUAACAGGCUGAUACCGCCCAAGAGUUCAUAUCGACGGCGGUGUUUGGCACCUCGAUGUCGGCUCAUCACAUCCUGGGGCUGAAGUAGGUCCCAAGGGUAUGGCUGUUCGCCAUUUAAAGUGGUACGCGAGCUGGGUUUAGAACGUCGUGAGACAGUUCGGUCCCUAUCUGCCGUGGGCGCUGGAGAAUUGAGGGGGGCUGCUCCUAGUACGAGAGGACCGGAGUGGACGCAUCACUGGUGUUCGGGUUGUCAUGCCAAUGGCACUGCCCGGUAGCUAAAUGCGGAAGAGAUAAGUGCUGAAAGCAUCUAAGCACGAAACUUGCCCCGAGAUGAGUUCUCCCUGAGACUUUAAGUCUCCUGAAGGAACGUUAAAGACGAUGACGUUGAUAGGCCGGGUGUGUAAGCGCAGCGAUGCGUUGAGCUAACCGGUACUAAUGAACCGUGAGGCUUAACCUUACAACGCCGAAG